This 244-nucleotide long non-coding RNA is filed under the name Lathyrus oleraceus (garden pea). Its description in RNAcentral is "Pisum sativum (pea) long non-coding RNA (PSAT_LNC021010)". The record is from RNAcentral. Lineage: Eukaryota; Viridiplantae; Streptophyta; Magnoliopsida; Fabales; Fabaceae.
CUUUGGAAUGAGAUUCAUAGGAUGUUUCAUUUGCAAGAUAUUAACCUUUAAAGUCAUCACUUAGACCUGAUUUUUGUGCCCAACAUUUAUGCCUAACUUACCCAACUUAUCUUGCAAUGGUGUGACAUGAUCUUGAGAUACAUUUUUCAUAUUCUUCCCCUCAUUAUUUCCACCCAUUCUCUACAUGAAACAUGCCAUACUCCAUAUUUUCUUCCUACUGUUUGCAUUAUCUCCUCAAUUGGUG